Long non-coding RNA from Ictidomys tridecemlineatus (thirteen-lined ground squirrel), 1857 nucleotides. RefSeq lists it as uncharacterized. The record is from RefSeq and is a predicted model, not a curated record. NCBI's taxonomy places the organism in Eukaryota, Metazoa, Chordata, Mammalia, Rodentia, Sciuridae.
ACCGCCGACCGCGCCGGGAGGCUGGGCGGGGGCGGGGCCUGCUCUUAAAGGGGCCGCGGCCCGCAUUGCCUCCUCCGACAUCCGAGGCCAGGGCGCGCAGGUCAGCGGUCUCAUCCUAGGGUUUCCCACACUCCCCGCGCCUUGAUGGCUGAUCGAAGCUGGUCCUGGGGUGUGAGCCCUUGCGGGGAUUUUCGGUUACAGGAGUGACGCAAAGGACUUUUCUUACAAGCAGAGGACCCAGGAAUUUCAGCCCUGCACCAAUGGAGUCUUUGCCCAAGUCACAGGUGAAAAUCAGCGUAGCUCCAGGUGACAGAAUCCCUUCUGGAUUAGGAGCUUUGGCUCCCAAAAGCCACUAUAAAUGGAAACAUGAAUAUAUUACCUGGCAUGAAAGGACCAGACUAACUGGGAAAGCUUCCUCCUCUACCUGUUCCCUGUAAGAAUAUUAGUACAGGUGAUAGGCAGGUUAAAUGUCUCGGUGUUACUAACCACAGGGAACUGUAGAGCAACAGAGAUAAGAGAGCUCGGUGAUGAUAGCAGAUUCCAAACAGCUCCACACUUGAAUAGGGAACCUAGAGGGCAAAUCAGACAGCAAGGGGACACAGAGCUGCCCAGGUCAGCAAGAGAUGAGCAAGAAGACUACAGCAAACAAGCAAAAGGGAAGCAAACCAUGUCUCCUGGUUCUUCCACAUGCGAGAUCACUCUGAGGUCAACUGAAAUUUGCCAUCAAAAAUAUACCAGAUGCCCUCAUGUUGUUGGAAUCAAAUCAUUUCUCAAAGGCAAAUUUUUAUAGAGCGCUUUUUUAUCAUGUUGAUAAUUUUGAUUUAUUUUCUACGUGUACAUUUUCAAAUAAGUUCUAAAUGAUCUCCCAUUCUUCCCAGCUACACAACCAAAUUAUAGCAAGGCAGUUACUAAAUACAUAGCACAAAGUUUGAGAAGCUCUGACCUUUGGCUUAAUUUUAUCCAACUUAAUAUUUGGGUUACUGCAUUCAUAGGCCAAAAACUAGCCAGCAUUAUAAUGGAAUUCUCUGGAGAGCACAUUCAAUAGUGAAGCCCGGAAGUAACAGUUCUCACUCUUAGCCCAGCAUUGGAAUCAACUCCCACAUCACACCCCAAACCAAUUUCAUAUUAGAGGUAGGGCUUAGGCCUUGAUGUAUUGUUUUGAAGAUCCUCUAAAUACUUCCAUGUACAGCCAAGGCUGAGAAUCUUCCUGCCUUAGAAUGAACAGACAGGAAGCUGCUAGUGUCUUCUUCCAUCAAGAUUCUUCCAUUAUCAGUUUCUCCCAAGGAGCCAGCGUCAGGAAACCAGGAUGUCCAGCUUGGACCUCACUUUCAAAGGUGUCCAUGUCGACUUUCCCGCCUCAUUCACCAGCUCUACAGUGACAUAAAGGGUUGUGAACAGGACUUCAUCGUGUUUCAUCGCCAUGCUCCAGGGAUCCCACACGGUCUUCAAAAGCAAACAAGUACUUUAAAAAAGAAAUCCUCCAAGCUUCUCUGUCUUUUCCCUCUCCUCUGUACCCAUCUUUCUCCUCCCCCUUCUCUUCCUACCCCGGCUGUCUCCUUUGCCUGCUCUGGAGGCUCAUGACUGUCCUUCUGUGUCCUUCCUCUCACUCCUGGUUCAUCCUCCACUGCUAUCUGGGCCUCCCUCUUCUUUCUGUAUCUGUCUCGGUUUCUUUUACUGUCUAUUCUCUUCCCACAGCACACAACUUUCUUCUUUCCCUUACAGCUCCUUAAUUAACACAGAAAAAAGGCCUUGGCAGAUAUUUAUAAUUAUUAAGCUAUUUUGUUAAUUUUAAAACAGAUAAGUACUGAAAAUAUAUUUCACUCAUCAAAGAGAUAAAAAAUGCUCAUAAAAUACAAA